UCCCUGGUGGCUCAGAGGGUAAAGAAUCUGCCUGCAAUGCGGGAGGCCCAGGUUCGAUCCCUGGGUGGGGAA
RNAcentral lists this transfer RNA (72 nucleotides) under Ovis aries (sheep). It matches the Rfam family "tRNA". From Rfam's summary of the family: Transfer RNA (tRNA) molecules are approximately 80 nucleotides in length. Their secondary structure includes four short double-helical elements and three loops (D, anti-codon, and T loops). Further hydrogen bonds mediate the characteristic L-shaped molecular structure. tRNAs have two regions of fundamental functional importance: the anti-codon, which is responsible for specific mRNA codon recognition, and the 3' end, to which the tRNAs corresponding amino acid is attached (by aminoacyl-tRNA synthetases). tRNAs cope with the degeneracy of the genetic code in two manners: having more than one tRNA (with a specific anti-codon) for a particular amino acid; and 'wobble' base-pairing, i.e. permitting non-standard base-pairing at the 3rd anti-codon position. Lineage: Eukaryota; Metazoa; Chordata; Mammalia; Artiodactyla; Bovidae. The record is from Rfam by way of RNAcentral.